AGAGUUUGAUCAUGGCUCAGAUUGAACGCUGGCGGCAGGCCUAACACAUGCAAGUCGAGCGGUAGCACAGAGAGCUUGCUCUCGGGUGACGAGCGGCGGACGGGUGAGUAAUGUCUGGGAAACUGCCUGAUGGAGGGGGAUAACUACUGGAAACGGUAGCUAAUACCGCAUAACGUCGCAAGACCAAAGUGGGGGACCUUCGGGCCUCAUGCCAUCAGAUGUGCCCAGAUGGGAUUAGCUAGUAGGUGGGGUAAUGGCUCACCUAGGCGACGAUCCCUAGCUGGUCUGAGAGGAUGACCAGCCACACUGGAACUGAGACACGGUCCAGACUCCUACGGGAGGCAGCAGUGGGGAAUAUUGCACAAUGGGCGCAAGCCUGAUGCAGCCAUGCCGCGUGUGUGAAGAAGGCCUUCGGGUUGUAAAGCACUUUCAGCGGGGAGGAAGGCGNNNNNNNNNNNNNNNNNNNNNNNNNNNNCGAUUGACGUUACCCGCAGAAGAAGCACCGGCUAACUCCGUGCCAGCAGCCGCGGUAAUACGGAGGGUGCAAGCGUUAAUCGGAAUUACUGGGCGUAAAGCGCACGCAGGCGGUCUGUCAAGUCGGAUGUGAAAUCCCCGGGCUCAACCUGGGAACUGCAUUCGAAACUGGCAGGCUAGAGUCUUGUAGAGGGGGGUAGAAUUCCAGGUGUAGCGGUGAAAUGCGUAGAGAUCUGGAGGAAUACCGGUGGCGAAGGCGGCCCCCUGGACAAAGACUGACGCUCAGGUGCGAAAGCGUGGGGAGCAAACAGGAUUAGAUACCCUGGUAGUCCACGCCGUAAACGAUGUCGAUUUGGAGGUUGUGCCCUUGAGGCGUGGCUUCCGGAGCUAACGCGUUAAAUCGACCGCCUGGGGAGUACGGCCGCAAGGUUAAAACUCAAAUGAAUUGACGGGGGCCCGCACAAGCGGUGGAGCAUGUGGUUUAAUUCGAUGCAACGCGAAGAACCUUACCUGGUCUUGACAUCCACAGAACUUAGCAGAGAUGCUUUGGUGCCUUCGGGAACUGUGAGACAGGUGCUGCAUGGCUGUCGUCAGCUCGUGUUGUGAAAUGUUGGGUUAAGUCCCGCAACGAGCGCAACCCUUAUCCUUUGUUGCCAGCGGUUCGGCCGGGAACUCAAAGGAGACUGCCAGUGAUAAACUGGAGGAAGGUGGGGAUGACGUCAAGUCAUCAUGGCCCUUACGACCAGGGCUACACACGUGCUACAAUGGCAUAUACAAAGAGAAGCGACCUCGCGAGAGCAAGCGGACCUCAUAAAGUAUGUCGUAGUCCGGAUUGGAGUCUGCAACUCGACUCCAUGAAGUCGGAAUCGCUAGUAAUCGUAGAUCAGAAUGCUACGGUGAAUACGUUCCCGGGCCUUGUACACACCGCCCGUCACACCAUGGGAGUGGGUUGCAAAAGAAGUAGGUAGCUUAACCUUCGGGAGGGCGCUUACCACUUUGUGAUUCAUGACUGGGGUGAAGUCGUAACAAGGUAACCGUAGGGGAACCUGCGGUUGGAUCACCU
This 1537-nucleotide ribosomal RNA is filed under the name Klebsiella pneumoniae. RNAcentral's name for it is "bacterial SSU rRNA". It matches the Rfam family "Bacterial small subunit ribosomal RNA". The record is from RNAcentral. Lineage: Bacteria; Pseudomonadati; Pseudomonadota; Gammaproteobacteria; Enterobacterales; Enterobacteriaceae.